Long non-coding RNA from Ctenopharyngodon idella (grass carp), 2806 nucleotides. RefSeq lists it as uncharacterized. Lineage: Eukaryota; Metazoa; Chordata; Actinopteri; Cypriniformes; Xenocyprididae. The transcript is spliced from 4 exons. The record is from RefSeq and is a predicted model, not a curated record.
UCCCGCCGUUCCCGAGUUUUCCCACGUUAUCCGCGUCGGAGCGUGAUGUGUCACAUCGCCGUUCGCGGACUUCUUCCCGUUAUCGAUGCACUUCUCUCGGGCUUCCAGAGGCUUCUUCCCGUUUUUGGAAAGGCGCUCGGAGAGUUUCCGCGCCCAGUGCGCAAAGUUAUCAAAGGUGCUUUUCUCCAGAUCCUCAGAGGAAACUUUAAUAUUCCCCGUGUACCACAUGACCCACCAGAAAAGACUGAGGAAAACUAUUAAUGAGCCAGUAUAUAUUAGAAAGUCUCCAUAAAAUUUGCCGUCCAGUCGCAGAUUUGCAAAAAUCCCGACUAACAGCAAGGCGAACCCGGUUAUAUCAAACGCGACCCCGAGGGCGAAUAACGCGGCGCAGCCCCCGACACACUCUGGGGCCAUUAUACACCUGAGACAAACAUCAAACGACCGGACAAAACGCGCUCGUUCUUCUCGACUAGCUUUUUUUUUUUUUACACCUGUGAAAUACACCUGCUCGUAGCACCGCCCUGCAUGUGACGUCAUCUAGAACAAACCUGGAAGUGCGCAUGCGCUCUCUGACACGCGGAGUUGUUUUGAACGUGAACGAGCUUUCAAGUUGAAACACCUUAAAUAACAUUCGUGCACAGCAAACCUGGGAUGAACUAUGGUCGCAAGUUCCGUCGUUACCGAUAGAGUUCAAUGGGACUUACGACCACAGUUGGCUAACGAUGCUUUCGGGAAACGCACCCCUGAGCCGUGAUUUUUGCUCCGCACAUGCGCGUUAGCGUUCUCUUUGAUCGUGGGAAAUUUGAAAAAGUUGUUUUUCUAAGUUGCCUGACGUCAUUCCCUCAGGACAGUUUUGUAAAGGCUUCUUGUUUACCGGGAGAAAACAGUCUGAGCGAAGAAGAGCACGAGAUGAAUGUGUGAAGAAAACAAAGAAAAAUGAAGUUUGUUGUAUCGCUGAUGUAACCGGCAGAUGGCGCUAGUGAUCUUCGCGAGCGACUGCAGACAUGCGCUGUGAUACAAUCAGAUCUCAAACAUGGCACCACAAAAACAGCUUUUGUGAAGAACAGAUCUACGCUGCAUAAUUCAGCGUCAGAAGAUGAAUGAAGACAGCGAUGGCUCUGAUCUCAUUACAGGAGAGAUUCUCAGCUUGAAGAAUCAGAGCCGAGCUCCAGAAGUAACAAGACAAAUGAGGUCUUUCACAGCUCUUUCUAAUCAGGCCUCAGAACGGACCUCCGUUUACAGCAGGUGGUCCAAAACUUCACAUUUCAAAAUGUCAGAUCUCAGUGCUUAGAGCCGGGGAUCUUUCCAGAGAGUCUGCCUUCCUCCAAGUCUUGAUUUCCCAGAGGAUCUGUAGUCCUGACACGCUUGAGCUUCCCGAGCAUUUAAGCAGACAUGCCUGUUCUGCUAUCAGAGGCAUCGCUGCUGCCCGUCUCGCUCUCUCUUACCUGCAACUUUCCCAAACCUGGGGAUAUUUUACCAAACGUAUGACAGUCUUACAGAAUCAGAUGUUCCUCCGGACGAGAGCUGCCUUAAAUACCAGUGAGUCGUGCUUCAUAUCAAGGAUACUCGAACUGCAAGGGUGUCAUUUCUGCAUCUGUUGACGCUGCAGGCAGUGUUUUGUGACUUCCAGGGUCAAAGUGCACCGGCUCUUUGCGUCAGUCCUUCUGUGUCCCCAAGGUCGCUUAUUUAUCGCGGAUGACCAUGCGGCUCUAAGCUCUCAUCUUCGCUAAUCACAGCUGAAUGUUUACACUCGCCGUUCAUCACCUUCCUGAGAGCUUUCAUAUCAGCCGUGCCACAGCACAAUAAUUCAGAAAAAAAAGAGUGGGAAGGGAAGGAGGCUAAUUUGUUUUUUUAUUAUCCUUCUCAGUGACGGCUUACUGCUAGGAUUUGUGUGGUAGUUGAAGAAAUCCUUCGAAUAAUAGCUAAAGUGUAAGUGCUGUACACAUAUGAAUGCAAGAGCCACAUAUCUUAUCUGACAGCAGCGUGAUGAAUGUCACUUCUUCUCAUGUUUUUAAUCAAGCUGAAAGACAAUGCGCUGGCGUCCCGUGACACAUGCGUGUUUCCAUCAGCGGAUCAGCUCGUCUGAUACAUGCGUGUGUUUGGUCCACAGCUCCAUCCUGCUCGUCCCAUGCUAGAGUCGAUCCCUACGCCUUUGAUUUCGCAGCGAUAAACAUGAGGCCUGCAGCUCGAGGAGAGAAACGGAGAUCAGUCUUAUCUCUCUGAACAGAUCCUCACACAGCAGGUUUAUCUAAACGCACAGUUGAUUCAUCCAUCUGUGGUGAUUAUGAUUUUGUCGUCACUCCUGGCUAUUCUUUUUAAUGCUAUCUGUGAAUUGAAGCCCACAUGAGGUGUUUAGCUGCAUGUACGCUGAUAAAGCCCAUCCGUACAACAUGGCAAGUGUAACUUCUGCCUGCUGACAGCUAACCUGUAUUGUGUUGCCAACUGUAAUUGAUGGAAAAGACUCAAACCACCGUACUCAUCAUGAGCCAACUUCAAUUUACAACCUGUUAAAAGAAGAAAAGAGUGACUCUCUUUAUCUAGAGGACAAGAGUUAUUCUUCAGAAUAGGCUGCAGGUAACGUGUGCUGAUUGGCUGCAGGGUGUAUUAGGGGCGGUGGAGCGUUUGAUUGGACAGAAAUCUGUGUAGUGCAGGAUGAGUCAUCAGGAUUUUUGGUCCGUCUUUCCGGAAGAGAAAGAAAUUUUUAAUGCGUUUGUGUAGUAAAAAUGAAUUGUAUAUUAUUGUGGUACACUAGCAUUUUUUGAUACCAACUUACAAAUAUGAAUAAAAUAUUUUUUGUAAAACUUUA